Lontra canadensis (Northern American river otter) is the source of this 537-nucleotide long non-coding RNA. RefSeq lists it as uncharacterized. The record is from RefSeq and is a predicted model, not a curated record. The transcript is spliced from 3 exons. Lineage: Eukaryota; Metazoa; Chordata; Mammalia; Carnivora; Mustelidae.
CACUCGCCACUUUGGCUUUCCACCGGCCUUGAAGGGCAGGCUGUCGCCAGGGGUGCCCUGGGGAGGGACCGACUGGAAUUCUUCCUUCUCCUCUGACUCCGAGCCCAUCUCUACCCUGCUUCGGUGGUGGGCCUGGUUUCCCCUGCUGGCUGGGCUUCCGCAAACUCUCUGUCUUCAGUGAGUGUCGCCCAGUUGUGCUUCCCCCAGUCCUGGCAAGUCAGGCUGGGGCAGGCUCGUCAUCUUCCUUGGAUCUGCAGCCCCCUUCACGGCCCUGUCUGCCUGCUUUCUGAUGCACAGGAUAUAUUUGGAGAAAGCUGUUGCUCCAUGACUAUACAUCUGUCAAGGCUGUGGCUUCACUGUGUCCUGUGUCCUGCUGCCCCGAGCUGGCCAGGAUGCUCAUGACCCGUGUAUGAGCUCAACUUCAUACCUUAGGGCCUCAAGCUUCCCCCAACACGUUUGUCUGAGGUUGAAUUCCAUGUAGGUACUCUUUGGCUGGGUAAUGUCCCAUUAUCAGGCGGGUAUAUCUUGCGGCUUAUA